This 253-nucleotide ribosomal RNA is filed under the name uncultured bacterium. Its description in RNAcentral is "partial 16S ribosomal RNA". It matches the Rfam family "Bacterial small subunit ribosomal RNA", at positions 524 to 776 of the family's 1533-position model. The record is from RNAcentral.
UACAGAGGGGGCAAGCGUUGUUCGGAAUUACUGGGCGUAAAGGGCGCGUAGGCGGCCUUCUAAGUCGAACGUGAAAUCCCCGGGCUCAACCCGGGAACUGCGUCCGAUACUGGAAGGCUUGAAUUCGGGAGAGGGAUGCGGAAUUCCAGGUGUAGCGGUGAAAUGCGUAGAUAUGACAUAGAACACCAAUUGCGAAGGCAGCUGGCUACACGAAUAUUGACACUGAUGCACGAAAGCGUGGGGAUCAAACAGG